RNAcentral lists this small RNA (2221 nucleotides) under Pan troglodytes (chimpanzee). RNAcentral's name for it is "processed transcript". Lineage: Eukaryota; Metazoa; Chordata; Mammalia; Primates; Hominidae. The record is from RNAcentral.
GGCCUUGGGCAGGCAGGAGCGAAAGGGCCGGGGGUUGCCUGUCCUCCCCCACCCUGUUGAGGCCUUCCUCCCCCUCUGCUGAGCCUCGGUUAAUUAUAACUCUGACCUAAGUGCCCUGUGACGUCAAGCCCGGGCCAGCCCUGCCCAGGAGACCCAGCAACCAGGUCCAUGUCUCAGCCAUGCUCCCCACGGAGGUCCCCCAAUCCCACCCGGGCCCCUCAGCGUUGCUUCUGCUGCAGCUGUUGCUGCCCCCCACAUCUGCCUUCUUCCCCAACAUCUGGAGCCUGCUGGCUGCCCCUGGCUCCAUCACCCACCAAGACCUAACUGAGGAGGCAGCGCUCAACGUCACCCUGCAGCUCUUCCUGGAGCAGCCACCCCCAGGCCGCCCCCCUCUUCGUCUUGAGGACUUCCUGGGUCGAACACUCCUUGCUGAUGACCUCUUUGCCGCCUACUUUGGACCUGGUUCUUCUCGGCGGUUCCGAGCAGCCUUAGGAUUUCUACAGUCAUAGCAACUGGGUGGAGCUGGGCGAGCAGCAGCCACACCCUCACCUCCUCUGGCCAAGGCAGGAGCUCCAGAACCUGGCACAAGUGGCCGAUCCUACCUGCUCCGAUUGCGAGGAGUUGAGCUGCCCCAGGAAUUGGCUGGGCUUCACACUCCUCACCUCUGGCUACUUUGGAACUCAUCCCCCGAAACCUCCAGGCUGCAAAACUGGCCCUUCUAGCCUCCAUCCAGGCCUUCGGCCUUCUGCGAAGCCGCCUGGGAGACAGGGAUUUCUCCAGGCUGCUGGACAUCACCCCAGCCUCCAGCCUGAGCUUUGUCCUGGACACCACGGGCAGCAUGGGUGAGGAGAUCAACGCUGCCAAAAUCCAGGCUCGCCACAUUGCGGAGCAGCGGAGAGGCAGCCCCAUGGAGCCUGUCCACUAUGUCCUGGUGCCUUUUCAUGACCCAGGGUUCGGCCCUGUCUUUACAACCAGUGACCCUGACAGCUUCUGGCAACAGCUUAAUGAGAUCCAUGCCUUGGGGGGUGGAGACGAGCCUGAGAUGUGCCUGUCAGCCCUGCAGCUGGCCCUGCUGCACACACCUCCACUCUCAGAUAUCUUUGUCUUCACGGAUGCCUCCCCCAAGGAUGCCUUUCUCACCAACCAGGUGGAAUCCCUGACUCAGGAGCGGCGCUGCCGGGUAACAUUCCUGGUGACUGAAGAUACAUCAAGGGUUCAGGGUCGAGCUCGGCGUGAGAUCUUGUCCCCUCUGCGUUUUGAGCCAUACAAAGCAGUGGCCCUGGCCUCAGGAGGAGAGGUGAUCUUCACCAAAGACCAGCACAUUCGAGACGUGGCAGCCAUUGUUGGGGAGAGCAUGGCUGCCCUGGUGACUCUUCCCCUGGACCCUCCUGUUGUGGUGCCUGGGCAGCCACUUGUGUUCAGUGUGGAUGGGCUGCUCCAGAAGAUCACAAUCCGGAUCCAUGGAGACAUCAGCAGCUUCUGGAUCAAGAACCCUGCAGGGGUCUCCCAGGGCCAGGAGGAAGGCGUGGGUCCUCUAGGUCACACUCGCCGCUUUGGGCAGUUCUGGAUGGUGACCAUGGAUGACCCUCCACAGACAGGAACCUGGGAGAUCCAGGUCACAGCUGAGGACACCCCUGGGGUGAGAGUGCAAGCCCAGACCUCCCUGGACUUCCUCUUCCACUUUGGGAUCCCCAUGGAGGAUGGACCCCACCCUGGCCUCUACCCCCUGACUCAGCCAGUUGCAGGUCUUCAGACCCAGCUGCUGGUAGAAGUGACAGGGUUGGGUUCCAGAGCCAAUCCUGGGGAUCCUCAGCCGCAUUUCUCCCACGUCAUCCUUCGAGGGGUCCCAGAGGGUGCCGAACUAGGCCAGGUGCCCUUGGAGCCCGUGGGACCUCCGGAGCGAGGUCUCCUCACAGCCUCGCUGUUGCCCACGCUGCUGUCCACCCCUAGACCCUUCUCCCUGGAGCUGAUUGGCCAGGACACAGCGGGGCGGCGCCUGCACAGGGCUGCCCCUCAGCCUAGCACUGUAGUCCCUGUCCUUCUGGAGGUGAGACGCUAGGGGCAAGUGCGGCUGGGGCUGGAGAGAGUUAGAGCGGCCCCUUCCCUGACGAACACUUCUCUGCAGCUUAGUGGCCCCUCGGGUUUCUUGGCCCCGGGCAGCAAAGUCCCACUCAGUCUCCGCAUCGCCAGCUUCUCGGGCCCUCAGGAUCUUAACCUUAGG